RNAcentral lists this transfer RNA (73 nucleotides) under Candidatus Kaiserbacteria bacterium. Its description in RNAcentral is "tRNA-Lys". It matches the Rfam family "tRNA". From Rfam's summary of the family: Transfer RNA (tRNA) molecules are approximately 80 nucleotides in length. The record is from RNAcentral. Lineage: Bacteria; Candidatus Kaiseribacteriota.
CCGCCUUUAGCUCAGUUGGUAGAGCAGCUGCCUCUUAAGCAGACGGUCCUAGGUUCGAGCCCUAGAAGGCGGA